RNAcentral lists this ribosomal RNA (1015 nucleotides) under Corynebacterium sp. TAE3-ERU2. Its description in RNAcentral is "partial 23S ribosomal RNA". It matches the Rfam family "Bacterial large subunit ribosomal RNA", at positions 1896 to 2925 of the family's 2925-position model. The record is from RNAcentral. Lineage: Bacteria; Bacillati; Actinomycetota; Actinomycetes; Mycobacteriales; Corynebacteriaceae.
GGGUCGAAGCGGAGAAUUUAAGCCCCAGUAAACGGCGGUGGUAACUAUAACCAUCCUAAGGUAGCGAAAUUCCUUGUCGGGUAAGUUCCGACCUGCACGAAUGGCGUAACGACUUCCCUGCUGUCUCAACUACAGGCCCGGUGAAAUUGCAGUACGAGUAAAGAUGCUCGUUACGCGCGGCAGGACGAAAAGACCCCGGGACCUUCACUACAACUUGGUAUUGGUGUUCGGGUCGGUUUGUGUAGCAUAGGUGGGAGACGUGGAAGCAUUAACGCUAGUUGGUGUGGAGUCGCACGGUGAAAUACCACUCUGACCGAUUCGGAUAUCUCAACCUUGGCCCAUGAUCUGGGUUGGGGACAGUGCCUGGUGGGUAGUUUAACUGGGGCGGUUGCCUCCCAAAGAGUAACGGAGGCGCCCAAAGGUUCCCUCAGCCUGGUUGGCAAUCAGGUGUUGAGUGUAAGUGCACAAGGGAGCUUAACUGUGAGACAGACAUGUCAAGCAGAUACGAAAGUAGGGACUAGUGAUCCGGCACCUCAUCGUGGAUUGGGUGUCGCUCAACGGAUAAAAGGUACCCCGGGGAUAACAGGCUGAUCUUCCCCAAGAGUCCAUAUCGACGGGAUGGUUUGGCACCUCGAUGUCGGCUCGUCGCAUCCUGGGGCUGGAGUAGGUCCCAAGGGUUGGGCUGUUCGCCCAUUAAAGCGGCACGCGAGCUGGGUUUAGAACGUCGUGAGACAGUUCGGUCUCUAUCCGCCGCGCGCGUUGAAACUUGAGAAAAGCUGUCCUUAGUACGAGAGGACCGGGACGGACGUACCUCUAGUGUGCCAGUUGUUCCACCAGGAGCACGGCUGGUUAGCUACGUACGGACAGGAUAACCGCUGAAAGCAUCUAAGCGGGAAGCCCCUUUCAAGACCAGGUUUCUUUUGAGGUACCCCAGAGAUGAUGGGGUUGAUAGGCCAGAACUGGACGCACAGUAAUGUGUUCGAGGUGACUGGUACUAACCCACCAACAAAAAACA